This 228-nucleotide long non-coding RNA is filed under the name Elaeis guineensis (African oil palm). RNAcentral's name for it is "long non-coding RNA (EGUI_LNC024330)". The record is from RNAcentral. Lineage: Eukaryota; Viridiplantae; Streptophyta; Magnoliopsida; Arecales; Arecaceae.
GCGAAGCAAAUCGAUUGAAGAAGCUCUUCUACUUUGAUUAAGUCUUUCACUGUGAAUCAAGAUGAGAUUUUAUAAAUAUUAUAAAAAUUUUAAUUGCUAAUCUAUUCAAUUUUUUUCUGACAUUUGAUACGAUCGGAUAAUUUUUUCUUCAGAAGCGACACAAGCAAGACCAACACUCUGAUCUUCUCAACCUUCUUACCAACGUUGAGAAGAUCGGUGAGGAUCUUC